This 497-nucleotide ribosomal RNA is filed under the name uncultured bacterium. Its description in RNAcentral is "partial 16S ribosomal RNA". It matches the Rfam family "Bacterial small subunit ribosomal RNA", at positions 28 to 507 of the family's 1533-position model. The record is from RNAcentral.
GACGAACGCUGGCGGCGUGCCUAAUACAUGCGAGUUGAGCGCUGAAGGUUGGUACUUGUACCAACUGGAUGAGCAGCGAACGGGUGAGUAACGCGUGGGGAAUCUGCCUUUGAGCGGGGGACAACAUUUGGAAACGAAUGCUAAUACCGCAUAAAAACUUUAAACACAAGUUUUAAGUUUGAAAGAUGCAAUUGCAUCACUCAAAGAUGAUCCCGCGUUGUAUUAGCUAGUUGGUGAGGUAAAGGCUCACCAAGGCGAUGAUACAUAGCCGACCGGAGAGGGUGAUCGGCCACAUUGGGACUGAGACACGGCCCAAACUCCUACGGGAGGCAGCAGUAGGGAAUCUUCGGCAAUGGACGAAAGUCUGACCGAGCAACGCCGCGUGAGUGAAGAAGGUUUUCGGAUCGUAAAACUCUGUUGGUAGAGAAGAACGUUGGUGAGAGUGGAAAGCUCAUCAAGUGACGGUAACUACCCAGAAAGGGACGGCUAACUACGUG